Molecule: long non-coding RNA, 542 nt
Filed under: Nicotiana benthamiana
Lineage: Eukaryota; Viridiplantae; Streptophyta; Magnoliopsida; Solanales; Solanaceae
Description: long non-coding RNA (NBEN_LNC033579)
Source: RNAcentral
CGGUUUUAAACCAAGCAAAGGCAUUCUCGUUUAAGAAUAAAGAACAAACACCAAGCUUAUUAGAUAUGACAAUCAAAUGCUACCAAAAUAAAGUCCAGAGAUUGAAUGAUGAACAAGGAAUUUAUUACCGAACCUUUUCAGAAGCCAAACUUCUUCAAGCAGAUUUUAUUAGCAAGCAUUUCAGUGAUACUACAACAGCUGAAAUCAAAGCCGAGUAGUCUCCAACGGAGAAAAUCCCACCAGAAAUCGAAUGAAAACGCAGCGGCAUCGGAACCUCGAACGCUUUACGGGUGAGCUGGUGCUUUUUUUAUAGCAGGUUUUAUGGAUGUAUUUCACUGGGUUUUGACGGCUUUGUCGGCCAUAAUUUAGACUAGUAUUUAGCUGAAGUUUAUGGGGGUUGAAGGGUUAUGGAGAUCAGAGUAAUUAGUGUUCAAGCAUUGAAGAAGAUCAAGCUUUCUGCUGGGGGAAGGGGAUGUGAAGGAGACGACGUGGGGGUGGGGGUCCCGUUCAGCGCAACCUUCAGAAUUUCUAGCUUCUUUUUU